RNAcentral lists this ribosomal RNA (314 nucleotides) under uncultured eukaryote. Its description in RNAcentral is "SSU rRNA". It matches the Rfam family "Eukaryotic small subunit ribosomal RNA", at positions 587 to 972 of the family's 1831-position model. The record is from RNAcentral.
AGCUCCAAUAGCGUAUAUUAAUGUUGUUGCAGUUAAAAAGCUCGUAGUUGAAGAUGAGAGAGUAGUUAAUUCGACUCUCUUCCGGAAGAUUUCUUCCAGUUACUUUGAAAAAAUUAGAGUGUUCAACGCAGGUUUCGCCUGAAUAUAUUAGCAUGGAAUAACAUAACACGACGAGGGUCCAUUUUGUUGGCUUGCAAACCCACGUAAUGAUUAAUAGGGACAGUCGGGGGCGUCAGUAUUGUGUUGUCAGAGGUGAAAUUCUUGGAUUUACACAAGACUAACUACUGCGAAGGCAUUCGCCAAGGAUGUAUUCA